RNAcentral lists this long non-coding RNA (247 nucleotides) under Nicotiana benthamiana. RNAcentral describes it as "long non-coding RNA (NBEN_LNC001203)". The record is from RNAcentral. Lineage: Eukaryota; Viridiplantae; Streptophyta; Magnoliopsida; Solanales; Solanaceae.
UCAUGGUGUGACUUAUUAAUUUGAUACCCCUAUAGUUGUUGCAACACUGGAUAUCCCCUUUGAUCUUGUACAAGGGCACCACCGUACUUCACCUCCACUCCUCCGGCAUCCUUUUGGUCCUGAAGAUCGCAUUAAACCUAGAGAGCCACUCCACUCCUGACCUACCCAUGCAUUUCCAAAACUACACCAGGAUCUCGUCAGGCCCGGUCGCUCGACCCCUACUCAUCCUACGCAAAGCUCCCAUGAC